CCUACGGGAGGCAGCAGUAGGGAAUAUUGGACAAUGGGCGAAAGCCUGAUCCAGCAAUGCCGCGUGAGUGAUGAAGGCCUUAGGGUUGUAAAGCUCUUUUACCCGGGAUGAUAAUGACAGUACCGGGAGAAUAAGCCCCGGCUAACUCCGUGCCAGCAGCCGCGGUAAUACGGAGGGGGCUAGCGUUGUUCGGAAUUACUGGGCGUAAAGCGCACGUAGGCGGCUUUGUAAGUCAGGGGUGAAAGCCUGGAGCUCAACUCCAGAACUGCCUUUGAGACUGCAUCGCUUGAAUCCGGGAGAGGUGAGUGGAAUUCCGAGUGUAGAGGUGAAAUUCGUAGAUAUUCGGAAGAACACCAGUGGCAAAGGCGGCUCACUGGACCGGUAUUGACGCUGAGGUGCGAAAGCGUGGGGAGCAAGCAGGAUUAGAUACCCUGGUAGUCCACGCCGUAAACGAUGAUAACUAGCUGUCCGGGAACUUGGUUCUUGGGUGGCGCAGCUACGCAUUAAGUUAUCCGCCGUGGGAGGUACGGCCGGCGAACGGUUAAAACGUUAACGAAAGGAAAGUUAGACGGCGUGAGACGUGCCGAACGGACGACGACGAGGGAGGUAGG
RNAcentral lists this ribosomal RNA (611 nucleotides) under uncultured bacterium. RNAcentral's name for it is "bacterial SSU rRNA". The stretch from base 1 to 517 matches the Rfam family "Bacterial small subunit ribosomal RNA", at positions 338 to 873 of the family's 1533-position model. The record is from RNAcentral.